CCGAGGUAAUGAUUAAUAGGGAUAGUUGGGGGUAUUCAUAUUUAAUUGUCAGAGGUGAAAUUCUUGGAUUUAUGAAAGAUGAACAACUGCGAAAGCAUUUACCAAGGAUGUUUUCAUUAAUCAAGAACGAAAGUCAGGGGAUCGAAGAGGAUUAGAUACCCUCGUAGUCUUGACCAUAAACUAUGCCGACUCAGGAUUG
Molecule: ribosomal RNA, 199 nt
Filed under: Karenia brevis
Lineage: Eukaryota; Dinophyceae; Gymnodiniales; Kareniaceae
Description: partial Eukaryotic small subunit ribosomal RNA
Rfam family: Eukaryotic small subunit ribosomal RNA
Source: RNAcentral